CACGUAGGGCGCAAGCGUUGUCCGGAGUUACUGGGCGUAAAGGGCUCGUAGGCGGCCUGUCGCGUCGGCUGUGCAAGCCCGGGGCUCAACCCCGGAACCGCAGCCGAUACGGGCAGGCUAGAGGACGGCAGGGGCAAGUGGAAUUCCCGGUGUAGCGGUGAAAUGCGCAGAUAUCGGGAGGAACACCAGCGGCGAAGGCGGCUUGCUGGGCCGAUCCUGACGCUGAGGAGCGAAAGCGUGGGGAGCGAACAGG
RNAcentral lists this ribosomal RNA (253 nucleotides) under uncultured bacterium. Its description in RNAcentral is "partial 16S ribosomal RNA". It matches the Rfam family "Bacterial small subunit ribosomal RNA", at positions 524 to 776 of the family's 1533-position model. The record is from RNAcentral.